Molecule: ribosomal RNA, 459 nt
Filed under: uncultured bacterium
Lineage: Bacteria
Description: partial 16S ribosomal RNA
Rfam family: Bacterial small subunit ribosomal RNA
Source: RNAcentral
CCUACGGGUGGCAGCAGUGAGGAAUAUUGGUCAAUGGGCGGAAGCCUGAACCAGCCAAGUAGCGUGCAGGAUGAAAGCCCUACGGGUUGUAAACCGCUUUUACACGGGAAUAAAACGCCCCACGUGUGGAGGUCUGCAGGUACCGUACGAAUAAGGGCCGGCUAAUUCCGUGCCAGCAGCCGCGGUAAUACGGAAGGCGCGAGCGUUAUCCGGAUUUAUUGGGCUUAAAGGGAGCGUAGGCGGGCGUUAAAGUCAGCUGUAAAAUCGCGCGGCUCAACCGGCCCGCGCAGUUGAAACUGGGGGGCUUGAGUGCGCGAAAGGCAGGCGGAAUUCGUGGUGUAGCGGUGAAAGGCAUAGAUAUCACGAGGAACCCCGAUUGCGAAGGCAGCGUGCCGGGGCGAGACUGACGCUGAGGCUCGAAAGUGCGGGUAUCAAACAGGAUUAGAUACCCUGGUAGUC